RNAcentral lists this transfer RNA (95 nucleotides) under Cryptococcus depauperatus CBS 7841. It matches the Rfam family "tRNA". Rfam says of the family: Transfer RNA (tRNA) molecules are approximately 80 nucleotides in length. Their secondary structure includes four short double-helical elements and three loops (D, anti-codon, and T loops). The record is from Rfam by way of RNAcentral. Lineage: Eukaryota; Fungi; Basidiomycota; Tremellomycetes; Tremellales; Cryptococcaceae.
UCUUCGUUAGUACAGGGGUUAGUAUAUCCGCCUUUCACUGGCACUGCCGGUUGGAAUUCACGCGGGCGACCCGGGUUCGAUUCCCGGACGGAGAA